CGGGGAUAUGCGAUCUCCCCGCGAGGCGUCAUGCUCAAGAAUCGC
Molecule: non-coding RNA, 45 nt
Filed under: Bradyrhizobium sp. WSM471
Lineage: Bacteria; Pseudomonadati; Pseudomonadota; Alphaproteobacteria; Hyphomicrobiales; Nitrobacteraceae
Source: RNAcentral